RNAcentral lists this ribosomal RNA (254 nucleotides) under uncultured bacterium. RNAcentral describes it as "partial 16S ribosomal RNA". It matches the Rfam family "Bacterial small subunit ribosomal RNA", at positions 524 to 776 of the family's 1533-position model. The record is from RNAcentral.
UACAGAGGGUGCGAGCGUUAAUCGGAAUUACUGGGCGUAAAGCGCGCGUAGGCGGCUUUGCAAGUCGGGUGUGAAAUCCCCAGGCUUAACCUGGGAACUGCAUUCGAGACUGCAUUGCUAGAGUAUGGGAGAGGGAAGUGGAAUUUCCGGUGUAGCGGUGAAAUGCGUAGAGUAUCGGAAGGAACAUCAGUGGCGAAAGCGACUUCCUGGACCAAUACUGACGCUCGUGGGCGAAAGCUAGGGGAGCGAACGGG